Molecule: transfer RNA, 68 nt
Filed under: Marmota monax (woodchuck)
Lineage: Eukaryota; Metazoa; Chordata; Mammalia; Rodentia; Sciuridae
Description: tRNA.Ala
Source: RNAcentral
GGAUUGUGGCUCAGUGGCAGAGUGCUUGCCUAGCAUGUGGGAGGCACUGGGUUCCAUUCUCAGCACCA